GACGAAUGCUGGCGGCGUGCUUAACACAUGCAAGUCGAACGGAAAGGCCCUGCUUUUGUGGGGUGCUCGAGUGGCGAACGGGUGAGUAACACGUGAGUAACCUGCCCUUGACUUUGGGAUAACUUCAGGAAACUGGGGCUAAUACCGGAUAGGAGCUCCUGCUGCAUGGUGGGGGUUGGAAAGUUUCGGCGGUUGGGGAUGGACUCGCGGCUUAUCAGCUUGUUGGUGGGGUAGUGGCUUACCAAGGCUUUGACGGGUAGCCGGCCUGAGAGGGUGACCGGCCACAUUGGGACUGAGAUACGGCCCAGACUCCUACGGGAGGCAGCAGUGGGGAAUAUUGCACAAUGGGCGGAAGCCUGAUGCAGCAACGCCGCGUGCGGGAUGACGGCCUUCGGGUUGUAAACCGCUUUCGCCUGUGACGAAGCGUGAGUGACGGUAAUGGGUAAAGAAGCACCGGCUGACUACGUG
RNAcentral lists this ribosomal RNA (468 nucleotides) under uncultured bacterium. Its description in RNAcentral is "partial 16S ribosomal RNA". It matches the Rfam family "Bacterial small subunit ribosomal RNA", at positions 28 to 507 of the family's 1533-position model. The record is from RNAcentral.